AGAGUUUGAUCAUGGCUCAGGAUGAACGCUGGCGGCGUGCCUAACACGUGCAAGUCGAGCGGAGAUAAUUGAGAGCUUGCUUUUGAUUAUCUUAGCGGCGGACGGGUGAGUAACGCGUGGGCAACCUGCCCUGUACAGAGGAAUAACAUUGGGAAAUCGAUGCUAAUGCCGCAUAAGCUUACAGUGUCGCAUGGCAAAGUAAGAAAAGAUUUAUCGGUACAGGAGGGGCCCGCGUCUGAUUAGGUAGUUGGUGGGGUAACGGCCUACCAAGCCGACGAUCAGUAGCCGACCUGAGAGGGUGAUCGGCCACAUUGGAGCUGAGACACGGUCCAAACUCCUACGGGAGGCAGCAGUGGGGAAUAUUGCACAAUGGGGGGAACCCUGAUGCAGCAACGCCGCGUGAAGGAAGAAGUAUUUCGGUACGUAAACUUCUAUCAAUAGGGACGAAAGAGAUGACGGUACCUAAAUAAGAAGCCCCGGCUAAAUACGUGCCAGCAGCCGCGGUAAUACGUAUGGGGCAAGCGUUAUCCGGAUUUACUGGGUGUAAAGGGUGAGUAGGCGGUCAGGCAAGUCAUAUGUGAAAUUCCCGGGCUUAACCCGGGCGCUGCAUAAGAAACUGUCAGACUAGAGUGCAGGAGAGGUAAGCGGAAUUCCCAGUGUAGCGGUGAAAUGCGUAGAUAUUGGGAAGAACACCGGUGGCGAAGGCGGCUUACUGGACUGAAACUGACGCUGAGUCACGAAAGCGUGGGGAGCGAACAGGAUUAGAUACCCUGGUAGUCCACGCCGUAAACGAUGAGUGC
RNAcentral lists this ribosomal RNA (800 nucleotides) under uncultured bacterium. Its description in RNAcentral is "bacterial SSU rRNA". It matches the Rfam family "Bacterial small subunit ribosomal RNA", at positions 8 to 816 of the family's 1533-position model. The record is from RNAcentral.